CUCUCCUUGUUGAAAGUCAUCACGGAGGAACAUGAAAUCCAGGUGCCUGCCCUCUUCUUCCAAAGCUGCCUUUGGAUUACUGGCAGUUCCUUCUGCAUCUUCCUGCACAGGCAAGACCAAGGACUUUGAAGCAAGGCUAAAAGAAGGAGUGAGACUUCAUCCAUUCCCCGGGAAGAUUGUGAAGCAAGCCUUGCCCCUGAGACUGGUUCUGGACAGUUUGGAAGCUGCCCAUUUUCAGUCUUCCCUCUAAUCCUGUGAGGUCUCUCACAUCCCUUAGAGGCAGCCACUCUUUGUAAAGUCCCAAGAGUCAGUUUUUUGUUGUUGGCAAAUCAACAACUGCUGUGAUAUGCUCACCAUUAUUAUCACUGUGUAUGCCAAUAUAGCUACAAAACAAAGCUUUACGAUGGCUUUUAUUGUUAAUUGUAAUUUUUUUCUCUGUGUUAUUUAGCAUGUGUGAAGUAUAAAGCAACCCUCUAAUAUUGUGCCACAUGUUCUGGUAUCUGGGAAACAUGACCCAGGUGACUGUGUGACACUCAGGGUGCUGCAAUGUCCAGGAGCAGGAAGAAGAAGAGCGGCCAUGAAAACAGUCUCCCACAUUCUGAGGGUGAGAAAGUUAUUGGAACAGUGAGAAAGUGAAAAAAUACGAAGAGUUCUGGUUAGGACAAACAUAAAAGUCAAGAAUUGCAGGACAAGAGUUUGGGAAGAUGCUUAACCUGGAUGUGCUGAGUCAGAGAAGUAAGGGGUGAAGAGAUCCAGAGACCCAGAUCACUGAGGAGCUAACCAGAAUAAAGGGCAAAUCCUGAAUAUCUCCAUGGAUUUCUUUUGCUGCUCAAUGAAGAGUCAUCGCUUAAAGACUUUAGUCAUUACAGCCUGUUAAGAUUAAUGAUCUGCUAGCAUGUUAUUUCUAGCUUUCCUAUGAAGUACUCUCUUAUAUGUUCAACACACUUCUGGGGUUUACUUGUUAUCAUGGCUAUAGAACAGUCACUUUUAUCCUAGGAAUGGGGACUUGAAAUUUUCAUAAGUUAGGGGUCAUUUGUUCUUUAAACAUUUAAUAAAAUAGCCAAUGAGACUAUUUGUAGCUCAAGUUUUA
Molecule: long non-coding RNA, 1090 nt
Organism: Hipposideros armiger (great roundleaf bat)
Lineage: Eukaryota; Metazoa; Chordata; Mammalia; Chiroptera; Hipposideridae
Exons: 3
Source: RefSeq, a predicted model, not a curated record